This 427-nucleotide ribosomal RNA is filed under the name uncultured bacterium. Its description in RNAcentral is "partial 16S ribosomal RNA". It matches the Rfam family "Bacterial small subunit ribosomal RNA", at positions 355 to 774 of the family's 1533-position model. The record is from RNAcentral.
UGGGGAAUAUUGGACAAUGGGCGAAAGCCUGAUCCAGCCAUGCCGCGUGUGUGAAGAAGGUCUUCGGAUUGUAAAGCACUUUAAGUUGGGAGGAAGGGCAUUAACCUAAUACGUUAGUGUUUUGACGUUACCGACAGAAUAAGCACUGGCUAACUCUGUGCCAGCAGCCGCGGUAAUAAAGAGGGUGCAAGCGUUAAUCGGAAUUACUGGGCGUAAAGCGCGCGUAGGUGGUUUGUUAAGUUGGAUGUGAAAUCCCCGGGCUCAACCUGGGAACUGCAUUCAAAACUGACUGACUAGAGUAUGGUAGAGGGUGGUGGAAUUUCCUGUGUAGCGGUGAAAUGCGUAGAUAUAGGAAGGAACACCAGUGGCGAAGGCGACCACCUGGACUAAUACUGACACUGAGGUGCGAAAGCGUGGGGAGCAAACA